GGGGCAUUGGUGUAGUGGCUCUGCACAUCUGGUUGUCGACCAGAAGGUAGGGGGUCGGAACCCCUAUGCCUCGCCA
This 76-nucleotide transfer RNA is filed under the name Anaerolineae bacterium. Its description in RNAcentral is "tRNA-Asp". It matches the Rfam family "tRNA". Rfam says of the family: Transfer RNA (tRNA) molecules are approximately 80 nucleotides in length. Their secondary structure includes four short double-helical elements and three loops (D, anti-codon, and T loops). Further hydrogen bonds mediate the characteristic L-shaped molecular structure. tRNAs have two regions of fundamental functional importance: the anti-codon, which is responsible for specific mRNA codon recognition, and the 3' end, to which the tRNAs corresponding amino acid is attached (by aminoacyl-tRNA synthetases). tRNAs cope with the degeneracy of the genetic code in two manners: having more than one tRNA (with a specific anti-codon) for a particular amino acid; and 'wobble' base-pairing, i.e. permitting non-standard base-pairing at the 3rd anti-codon position. Lineage: Bacteria; Bacillati; Chloroflexota; Anaerolineae. The record is from RNAcentral.